This 74-nucleotide transfer RNA is filed under the name bacterium 1XD42-8. RNAcentral describes it as "tRNA-Asn". The stretch from base 11 to 74 matches the Rfam family "tRNA". Rfam says of the family: Transfer RNA (tRNA) molecules are approximately 80 nucleotides in length. Their secondary structure includes four short double-helical elements and three loops (D, anti-codon, and T loops). The record is from RNAcentral.
UGUGCGAGCGCACCCGGUGGCAGAGCAUUCGGCUGUUAACCGAAGGGUUGUUGGUUCGAGUCCAACUCGGGGAG